This is a non-coding RNA of Camelina sativa (false flax), 323 nucleotides long. The record is from RefSeq and is a predicted model, not a curated record. NCBI's taxonomy places the organism in Eukaryota, Viridiplantae, Streptophyta, Magnoliopsida, Brassicales, Brassicaceae.
UCGUUCAGAGAAGGCAUGUCCGGGUUAAUCAUCAAAACUGAGCAAUGAUGACAGUGGUUCCAGGAAAUGCUUGGAUGUUGUUGUUCACAUGCUCAGCGAAUGAUCCCCAGAGCACAACAGUGAGCCAUUCAUCCCUUCAAAUUGAAAAAUGGUACAUCUUCAAAUUCAGUGACAUUGACCAGUUGGCCAACGACGUCUAGAACAAAAACGAUUAUAACAGGUCAGAUGUGCAUCUUAAUUCGUUAUUCUUUUUGCGAAAAUACAAUAAAUAUAAAAAGACCUACCAACCAAGUAGUUGUCAUCCAAAGUACCAUCAAUGAUUU